UUGCACUGAACUACUGCUGCCAGAUUAAUGGCUUCUCUUCUCUCAAUCUUACCAAACUAGAUGUCUUGUCUGAUCUUCCUGAGAUUCAGUUAGGUGUUGCUUAUAAGCAGAUUGAUGGUACACCUGUCAAAUCUUUUCCUUCUGAUCUUCGUCUUCUUGAACAAUUGAAAGUUGAAUACGAAGUAUUACCAGGCUGGAAGUGUGAUAUUUCUUCCGUCAGAAAUUACGAAGAUCUUCCAAAGGCCGCCAGGCAGUAUGUAGAGAGGAUUGAAGAACUUGUUGGCAUACCCGUCCAUUAUAUUGGUGUCGGCCCCGGCCGCGAUGCCCUUAUUUUCAAGUAACUUCUUGGAGCUGAUUUUGUUGUACUUCAUUUGAAUCCUACAUUUAUGGAUUUGAAUUAACCUUCCUGAUUAGAUUCCAAUAUUCACAUUGGUUCUGAGAUAUAUGGAAUCAAUGAUUCCGAAAUUAGAGAUGGAGCUUGGUUCCCCAAAUAGGAGGAUACCCUUUUCUUGUAAGAUAAAAAUAAGUUCAAUAUGGUAGAUGAAAUUUUCAGGAAGAACUUUUAAUGGUGAUUCUCAGUUUUUAAUUUGAAUCCAAUGAUUUCUUUAAA
Non-coding RNA from Carica papaya (papaya), 610 nucleotides. NCBI's taxonomy places the organism in Eukaryota, Viridiplantae, Streptophyta, Magnoliopsida, Brassicales, Caricaceae. The record is from RefSeq and is a predicted model, not a curated record.